Molecule: ribosomal RNA, 253 nt
Filed under: uncultured bacterium
Lineage: Bacteria
Description: partial 16S ribosomal RNA
Rfam family: Bacterial small subunit ribosomal RNA
Source: RNAcentral
UACGUAGGGUGCAAGCGUUAAUCGGAAUUACUGGGCGUAAAGCGUGCGCAGGCGGUUUUGUAAGUCUGUUGUGAAAUCCCCGGGCUUAACCUGGGAAUGGCAAUGGAGACUGCAAGGCUAGAAUCUGGCAGAGGGGGGUAGAAUUCCACGUGUAGCAGUGAAAUGCGUAGAGAUGUGGAGGAACACCGAUGGCGAAGGCAGCCCCCUGGGUCAAGAUUGACGCUCAUGCACGAAAGCGUGGGGAGCGAACAGG